RNAcentral lists this ribosomal RNA (618 nucleotides) under uncultured bacterium. RNAcentral describes it as "bacterial SSU rRNA". It matches the Rfam family "Bacterial small subunit ribosomal RNA", at positions 59 to 709 of the family's 1533-position model. The record is from RNAcentral.
CAGUCGCACGAGAAAGGGGAGCAAUCCCUGAGUAAAGUGGCGCACGGGUGAGUAACACGUGGGUUAUCCACCCUCUGGUGGGGAAUAACCCUGGGAAACCGGGGCUAAUACCGCAUAAGUCCGAGAGGAGAAAGCCGAAAGGCGCCAGAGGAGGAGCCCGCGGCCGAUUAGCUAGUUGGUGAGGUAAUGGCUCACCAAGGCGACGAUCGGUAGCCGGCCUGAGAGGGCACACGGCCACACUGGCACUGAAACACGGGCCAGACUCCUACGGGAGGCAGCAGUGGGGAAUCUUGCACAAUGGGGGAAACCCUGAUGCAGCGACGCCGCGUGAGCGAUGAAGCCCCUCGGGGUGUAAAGCUCUUUCGGCAGGGACGAUCAUGACGGUACCUGCAGAAGAAGCUGCGGCUAACUACGUGCCAGCAGCCGCGGUAAUACGUAGGCAGCAAGCGUUGUUCGGAAUUACUGGGCGUAAAGCGUGCGUAGGCGGUUGGCUAAGUUUGGUGUGAAAUCUCCCGGCUCAACUGGGAGGGUGCGCCGAAAACUGGCCGGCUAGAGUGCGGGAGAGGGAAGUGGAAUUCCUGGUGUAGCGGUGAAAUGCGUAGAUAUCAGGAGGAACAC